RNAcentral lists this ribosomal RNA (1343 nucleotides) under uncultured bacterium. RNAcentral describes it as "16S ribosomal RNA". It matches the Rfam family "Bacterial small subunit ribosomal RNA", at positions 28 to 1378 of the family's 1533-position model. The record is from RNAcentral.
GACGAACGCUGGCGGCGUGCUUAACACGUGCAAGUCGAACGGAAAGGCCCUGCUUUUGUGGGGUGCUCGAGUGGCGAACGGGUGAGUAACACGUGAGUAACCUGCCCUUGACUUUGGGAUAACUUCAGGAAACUGGGGCUAAUACCGGAUAGGAGCUCCUGCUGCAUGGUGGGGGUUGGAAAGUUUCGGCGGUUGGGGAUGGACUCGCGGCUUAUCAGCUUGUUGGUGGGGUAGUGGCUUACCAAGGCUUUGACGGGUAGCCGGCCUGAGAGGGUGACCGGCCACAUUGGGACUGAGAUACGGCCCAGACUCCUACGGGAGGCAGCAGUGGGGAAUAUUGCACAAUGGGCGGAAGCCUGAUGCAGCAACGCCGCGUGCGGGAUGACGGCCUUCGGGUUGUAAACCGCUUUCGCCUGUGACGAAGCGUGAGUGACGGUAAUGGGUAAAGAAGCACCGGCUAACUACGUGCCAGCAGCCGCGGUGAUACGUAGGGUGCGAGCGUUGUCCGGAUUUAUUGGGCGUAAAGGGCUCGUAGGUGGUUGAUCGCGUCGGAAGUGUAAUCUUGGGGCUUAACCCUGAGCGUGCUUUCGAUACGGGUUGACUUGAGGAAGGUAGGGGAGAAUGGAAUUCCUGGUGGAGCGGUGGAAUGCGCAGAUAUCAGGAGGAACACCAGUGGCGAAGGCGGUUCUCUGGGCCUUUCCUGACGCUGAGGAGCGAAAGCGUGGGGAGCGAACAGGCUUAGAUACCCUGGUAGUCCACGCUGUAAACGGUGGGUACUAGGUGUGGGGUCCAUUCCACGGGUUCCGUGCCGUAGCUAACGCUUUAAGUACCCCGCCUGGGGAGUACGGCCGCAAGGCUAAAACUCAAAGGAAUUGACGGGGCCCCGCACAAGCGGCGGAGCAUGCGGAUUAAUUCGAUGCAACGCGUAGAACCUUACCUGGGUUUGACAUGGAUCGGGAGUGCUCAGAGAUGGGUGUGCCUCUUUUGGGGUCGGUUCACAGGUGGUGCAUGCCUGUCGUCAGCUCGUGUCGUGAGAUGUUGGGUUAAGUCCCGCAACGAGCGCAACCCUUGUUCACUGUUGCCAGCACGUUAUGGUGGGGACUCAGUGGAGACCGCCGGGGUCAACUCGGAGGAAGGUGGGGAUGACGUCAAGUCCUCAUGCCCCUUAUGUCCAGGGCUUCACGCAUGCUACAAUGGCUGGUACAGAGAGUGGCGAGCCUGUGAGGGUGAGCGAAUCUCGGAAAGCCGGUCUCAGUUCGGAUUGGGGUCUGCAACUCGACCUCAUGAAGUCGGAGUCGCUAGUAAUCGCAGAUCAGCAACGCUGCGGUGAAUACGUUCCCGGG